RNAcentral lists this ribosomal RNA (484 nucleotides) under uncultured bacterium. RNAcentral describes it as "partial 16S ribosomal RNA". It matches the Rfam family "Bacterial small subunit ribosomal RNA", at positions 30 to 507 of the family's 1533-position model. The record is from RNAcentral.
AUUGAACGCUGGCGGCAGGCCUAACACAUGCAAGUCGAGCGGAUGAAGGGAGCUUGCUCCUGGAUUCAGCGGCGGACGGGUGAGUAAUGCCUAGGAAUCUGCCUGGUAGUGGGGGAUAACGUCCGGAAACGGGCGCUAAUACCGCAUACGUCCUGAGGGAGAAAGUGGGGGAUCUUCGGACCUCACGCUAUCAGAUGAGCCUAGGUCGGAUUAGCUAGUUGGUGGGGUAAAGGCCUACCAAGGCGACGAUCCGUAACUGGUCUGAGAGGAUGAUCAGUCACACUGGAACUGAGACACGGUCCAGACUCCUACGGGAGGCAGCAGUGGGGAAUAUUGGACAAAGGGCGAAAGCCUGAUCCAGCCACGCCGCGUGUGUGAAGAAGGUCUUCGGAUUGUAAAGCACUUUAAGUUGGGAGGAAGGGCAGUAAGUUAAUACCUUGCUGUUUUGACGUUACCAACAGAAUAAGCACCGGCUAACUUCGUG